This 464-nucleotide ribosomal RNA is filed under the name uncultured bacterium. Its description in RNAcentral is "partial 16S ribosomal RNA". It matches the Rfam family "Bacterial small subunit ribosomal RNA", at positions 28 to 507 of the family's 1533-position model. The record is from RNAcentral.
GACGAACGCUGGCGGCGUGCUUAACACAUGCAAGUCGAACGGAAAGGCCCUGCUUGCAGGGUACUCGAGUGGCGAACGGGUGAGUAACACGUGGGUGAUCUGCCCUGCACUUCGGGAUAAGCCUGGGAAACUGGGGCUAAUACCGGAUAGGAGCCAUUGUUAGUGGGAGGGGGGGAAAGUUUUUCCGGUGUGGGAUGAGCUCGCGGCCUAUCAGCUUGUGGGUGGGGUGAAGGCCUACCAAGGCGGCGCCGGGUAGCCGGCCUGAGAGGGUGGACGGCCACAUUGGGACUGAGAUACGGCCCAGACUCCUCCGGGAGGCAGCAGUGGGGAAUAUUGCACAAUGGGCGCAAGCCUGAUGCAGAGACGCCGCGUCGGGGAUGACGGCCUUCGGGUUGUAACCUCCUUUCGCUAGGGACGAAGCUUUUGUGACGGUACCUAGAGAAGAAGCACCGGCUAACUACGUG